CCCACUGGAACUGGAUGUUGGAUAUAGCAUUUCUUCAACAUCAAGAAAAUGGCCACACAUUUUUUUAAUUGUUUCCCUUGCAAAUAAUUUUUAAAUAGUCUUACAAAAAUGUUUUUCUUGCUUCACUCCCCAGUGAGUUAAAAAUGCACACCGACAUUGCCAGUUGGCAUAAUGUGUUGUGAUUCCAGCAGACAGCAAUGGGAAUGUAUGAAGUGAUGGUUGAGGUGAAGGACAGCGGAACUGCUUUUUCUUGCAGCAUGCAGUAUGCAAAAUGAUCCUUUUUAUUUUUAACUAAUUCCUUAAAGCAAAAGCUCUUCCCACCCACGAGUGUUGCCUAAUUGGGGGACAUGGAAAAUGAAUGAAGAAACAAUCCUCAAACAAGGAGUGUUUGCUGCUCCCAUUUCAGCACUAAUUAAUUACUGUUGUCAGUAAACUGAAAGUGUUCAUGGAAUUACAUUUUCCAGAGCCUUCACCUGGAUCUAAAGCUGGAUUUGAGUUCUGGUGGCGAGAAGUCUUCAGACAUAUUGGACUGAAGUU
This 537-nucleotide long non-coding RNA is filed under the name Homo sapiens (human). Its description in RNAcentral is "HSALNT0099778". Lineage: Eukaryota; Metazoa; Chordata; Mammalia; Primates; Hominidae. The record is from RNAcentral.